AUGUCUCAGGCAAGCAAAGACACUGAGAGUGCAUUAGCUGGUUUAGAGCAAGAGGUAGACCAGUCAGAUGUUCCUCAACCAACAACAAUAUCUAAAGAGCCUCGAAGGAGUGAAAGAGCUCGAACAUUAACUGAAAAGGGAAAAGAACUUCAGAAGGAAAAGCUAGAAGUUCUUCUGCUACGCUUUGACAGUAUUUAUGAAAGAUGGAGAGCUCUGACCAAGGUUGCUAAGAAAUCUGAAAUGAGUCAAGAUCCCAGUGAAAUUCUACAGGAACACAUUAGCAGCGUUCAGAAAGAGGCAUCAGAGCUGAACAAUAUUUAUGAUGACUACAGAAGAAUUGAUAGUCCAGCUCAUGACAUGCGUCGUAAGAUGGACAACUGUACAUCAAUUACUGAAGUAGUGGUUCAGAACGCUCAGUUGCAAAUUCAAGGAAGAGAAGAGCAGAUUAUUUGGCCUAAUGCAAAGUCAGUAUUUGCAUCUUCCAUUUCCAGUGUUUCACCACCUGCUUCAAGUCGUUCUAAGAUUAAUUCUUUGCGCUCUGAUACAUCUUCAGUCAAAAGACAAGAAGCUGCUGCUGAGUAUGCAGCCACACAAGCUGUCUUAAAGAUUAUGGCUGAGCAAGAGUCAUAUCAAGAAAAACUACAAAAGCUUGAGGUUGAAGAGAAGUUGAUCAUUGCAGAACAAGAAGCAGCUGCAUUAGCUUGUCAUCUGCAAGCGGAAAAGGAAGAAACAGAGCGUAGAAUAGAAAGGGAGAAACGAAAAUCCGCUCUCCAAAGGAAACAACAAGAGGAGAACGCCGCAAGAAGGAGGUCAGUAGAAAACUUAAAAAGAGAACUUGAGCGUUUGGAGGAAUUGAAAAGGCUGAAUGCAGCCAAGGCAAAACUUCAGGUUUAUGAUGAACACGAGAAUGAUCAGGUUAAGGGUUUUGCAGCAAAUAGCGCAGAACUUCCUAUUGUCAUGCAGACUGUCAGUCAGAUUAAGCAAGAACCACAACCACCAAGAGUUGUGUUCUCUAAUAGUAGUCCAACACAAAAUGAAACAGGAGCACUUGUGAAGGUUUUGGCUGAGGCUAUGUCAGCAAACAGGCUCCCCAUUCCAGAACCUACCGUCUUUUGUGGAGAUCCACUUAGGUUUGUUCAUUGGAAGGCAUCUUUCAAGACUCUGAUUGAGCAGAAAAACAUUCCAACCUCAGAGAAGAUCUUCUUCCUUCAGAGAUAUGUUGGAGGAGCAGCACGAGAGGCUUUGGAAGGUUACUUUCUAAUUGGUUCAGAAGAGUCAUAUGAAGCAGCUUGGAAGUUGCUCAGUGAACGAUAUGGACAUCCAUUUGUAAUUGCAAAGGCUUUCAGAGACAAAUUAUAUUCCUGGCCAAAGGUAGCUGCAAAGGAAAGUGCUGAGUUUAGGAAAUUUGUGGACUUCUUGCGCAGUUGUGAAUGUGCUAUGGCUCACAAUGAAAGUCUAAAUGUCCUUGAUGAUGGACUUGAGAACCAGAAGCUGGCAGCUAAAUUACCCGACUGGUUAAGCACCAGAUGGAACAGAAAGGCCACAGAAUAUCAACUGGAGCAUGGGAGAUUCCCGAAGUUCAGUUAUUUUGUGACAUUCCUUUCAUUAGAGGCCAGUAUUGCUUGCAAUCCUAUUACAUCUUAUCAAGCAUUACGGCAGACUGAAUCUGAUAAGGUGAGGAUUAAAAAUCAGACAUUAGUAACUCCUAAAACCCAGACCAUAGGUUCCAAAAUAUUCACAACCAAUACCAGUGAGAGAAACAGAGUCACCUGUCUGUUCUGUGAGAAAGUAGGGCAUGGUGUACAAAAGUGUUUCAAAUUACUGGACAAGGCAGUUGCUGACAGAGUCAAAUUCAUUCGAAGUGAAAAUCUAUGCUUCGGCUGUUUGAGCAUUGGCCAUCAGUCUAAGAAAUGUACCAAUCGGAUGGUCUGUGAAGUCUGCUCAAAACGUCACCCCACGUGUUUACACGAAGAUCGCUCAAACCGUGAACAAGGAGCAAAGAGAGAACAAUUCAAAGGAAGAGUUAGCACUAAAGAAUCAGCACAACCAAGUGUCAGUAACGAAAGCACGUCCAACAGAGUUGUACAAGAUGGUAAAAGUGUACAGACUUCAGCCAUAGUCCCGGUGUAUGUGUCUUCACCAAAGGAUCCAAACAAGGAAGUUCUUGUUUAUGCUCUGUUAGAUUCACAGUGA
Molecule: long non-coding RNA, 2193 nt
Organism: Betta splendens (Siamese fighting fish)
Lineage: Eukaryota; Metazoa; Chordata; Actinopteri; Anabantiformes; Osphronemidae
Source: Ensembl